UAGUCCACGCCGUAAACGAUGGUCACUAGCUGUUCGGAUUUCGAUCUGAGUGGCUAAGCGAAAGUGAUAAGUGACCCACCUGGGGAGUACGUUCGCAAGAAUGAAACUCAAAGGAAUUGACGGGGGCCCGCACAAGCGGUGGAGCAUGUGGUUUAAUUCGAUGAUACGCGAGGAACCUUACCAGGGCUUAAAUGUAGGUUGACAGGCUGAGAGAUCGGUUUUUCUUCGGACAACUUACAAGGUGCUGCAUGGUUGUCGUCAGCUCGUGCCGUGAGGUGUCAGGUUAAGUCCUAUAACGAGCGCAACCCCUGUUGUUAGUUGCCAGUGAGUAAUGUCGGGAACUCUAACAAGACUGCCGGUGCAAACCGCGAGGAAGGUGGGGAUGACGUCAAAUCAUCACGGCCCUUACGUCCUGGGCCACACACGUGCUACAAUGGUAUGGACAGAGAGCAGCCACUAGGUGACUAGGAGCGAAUCUACAAACCAUAUCACAGUUCGGAUCGG
This 504-nucleotide ribosomal RNA is filed under the name uncultured bacterium. Its description in RNAcentral is "bacterial SSU rRNA". It matches the Rfam family "Bacterial small subunit ribosomal RNA", at positions 791 to 1301 of the family's 1533-position model. The record is from RNAcentral.